This 83-nucleotide transfer RNA is filed under the name Solirubrobacteraceae bacterium. RNAcentral describes it as "tRNA-Leu". It matches the Rfam family "tRNA". From Rfam's summary of the family: Transfer RNA (tRNA) molecules are approximately 80 nucleotides in length. Their secondary structure includes four short double-helical elements and three loops (D, anti-codon, and T loops). The record is from RNAcentral. Lineage: Bacteria; Bacillati; Actinomycetota; Thermoleophilia; Solirubrobacterales; Solirubrobacteraceae.
GCAGCGGUGGCGGAAUGGUAGACGCAGCGGACUCAAAAUCCGCCGGCAGUGAUGUCGUGAGGGUUCGAGUCCCUCCCGCUGUA